This 467-nucleotide ribosomal RNA is filed under the name uncultured bacterium. RNAcentral describes it as "partial 16S ribosomal RNA". It matches the Rfam family "Bacterial small subunit ribosomal RNA", at positions 28 to 507 of the family's 1533-position model. The record is from RNAcentral.
GACGAACGCUGGCGGCGUGCUUAACACAUGCAAGUCGAACGAUGACGACCGAGCUUGCUCGGUCUGAUUAGUGGCGAACGGGUGAGUAACACGUGAGCAACCUGCCCUUCACUCUGGGAUAACCUCGGGAAAUCGGGGCUAAUACCGGAUAUGAGCUCCUGUCGCAUGGCGGGUGUUGGAAAGUUUUUCGGUGAAGGAUGGGCUCGCGGCCUAUCAGUUUGUUGGUGAGGUAGUGGCUCACCAAGGCGAUGACGGGUAGCCGGCCUGAGAGGGCGACCGGCCACACUGGGACUGAGACACGGCCCAGACUCCUACGGGAGGCAGCAGUGGGGAAUAUUGCACAAUGGGCGAAAGCCUGAUGCAGCGACGCCGCGUGAGGGAUGACGGCCCUCGGGUUGUAAACCUCUUUCAGCAGGGAAGAAGCGAAAGUGACGGUACCUGCAGAAGAAGCGCCGGCUAACUACGUG